Carassius gibelio (silver crucian carp) is the source of this 602-nucleotide long non-coding RNA. RefSeq lists it as uncharacterized. The transcript has 4 exons. The record is from RefSeq and is a predicted model, not a curated record. NCBI's taxonomy places the organism in Eukaryota, Metazoa, Chordata, Actinopteri, Cypriniformes, Cyprinidae.
UGAAAACAGUGAGCGGUACAGAAAAAAGCAGGUAAGUGAGAUGCACAAUGAUAAAUUGGAGAACUGGAUUCUGGAGGUGAAUGGAAUGUUUUCACUUACAGGUGAGAGGACUGAUGGAUGAUACGAUGGGUGACAAGACAGAUACAAUGGAGAAGGAACAAGGACAAAGCUGGGAGAUUGCUGGAUGAGCAGGAUGAAAUUACCAAGAAGCCUAUGAAGGAGUGAGGCGGCUCUCAAAUUUCAUCAAAAAUAUCUUAAUUUGUGUUCAGAAGAUGAACGAAAAUGACGGGGUUGUAACAACAUGAGCAAAAGAGAGAGUGUGAAACCAUCAGCUGUUUGCUGAUUUAUUUACUAUAGUCUGCUAAAAAAGACCUGUCCAGUGUAUACCAACAUGAAAAAAAAAAGAAAUAAUUCUUGGACUGAAAGAAAGUGAGUUCUAUUGGCAAGUACAUUUACAAUCCAAUGAAUGUUUGUCUAACAAAUGUCAGUAUAACUCCCCAAAUUAAAUAUGAUAAAUAUUAAAUGGAUAAUUAACUUACCAAAAAAAAAUAUCUUAUAUCUGUCAUCAUCUACUCGCAUGUUUUUUCAGACCUUUAUGACUC